Molecule: ribosomal RNA, 490 nt
Filed under: uncultured bacterium
Lineage: Bacteria
Description: partial 16S ribosomal RNA
Rfam family: Bacterial small subunit ribosomal RNA
Source: RNAcentral
AUUGAACGCUGGCGGCAGGCCUAACACAUGCAAGUCGAACGGUAACAGGAAACAGCUUGCUGUUUCGCUGACGAGUGGCGGACGGGUGAGUAAUGUCUGGGAAACUGCCUGAUGGAGGGGGAUAACUACUGGAAACGGUAGCUAAUACCGCAUAACGUCGCAAGACCAAAGAGGGGGACCUUCGGGCCUCUUGCCAUCGGAUGUGCCCAGAUGGGAUUAGCUAGUAGGUGGGGUAACGGCUCACCUAGGCGACGAUCCCUAGCUGGUCUGAGAGGAUGACCAGCCACACUGGAACUGAGACACGGUCCAGACUCCUACGGGAGGCAGCAGUGGGGAAUAUUGCACAAUGGGCGCAAGCCUGAUGCAGCCAUGCCGCGUGUAUGAAGAAGGCCUUCGGGUUGUAAAGUACUCUCAGCGGGGAGGAAGGGAGUAAAGUUAAUACCUUUACUCAUUGACGUUACCCGCAGAAGAAGCACCGGCUAACUCCGUG